Labrus bergylta (ballan wrasse) is the source of this 333-nucleotide non-coding RNA. The record is from RefSeq and is a predicted model, not a curated record. NCBI's taxonomy places the organism in Eukaryota, Metazoa, Chordata, Actinopteri, Labriformes, Labridae.
UUACCAGUUUGUAGUGUUUUCCUGUGUGUCACCUUGUUCCAGCAUUGUUUCCUAGUAGACUUAUAGUGAUUUUUGACCGUGCCUGCCUUACUGUUUUGCCUUCUGCCUGCUCCCUUUGGAUUUUUUUGCCUUGAAGAAUUGACUGCCCGUGUACCGACCUGGACUGUUAUUAAACUCUACCUUUUCCUGAACUCAGCCACGUAGCACAUGAGUUAUUAAUGUCUGUCAGGACCCAGAAUCUUAAAAAGUGGGGAAUCCACUCCCACGCACUCAGCAGCACAAAAACAAUUCACUAGAAAGAUUCAGAUUCAGAUUUGACUCCCUGCAUGUGGC